AUUGAACGCUGGCGGCAUGCUUUACACAUGCAAGUCGAACGGUAACAGCACUUCGGUGGCUGACGAGUGGCGCACGGGUGAGUAAAACAUCGGAACGUGCCUAGUAGUGGGGGAUCACUACUCGAAAGAGUAGCUAAUACCGCAUGAGAUCUAAGGAUGAAAGCAGGGGACCUUCGGGCCUUGCGCUACUAGAGCGGCUGAUGGCAGAUUAGGUAGUUGGUGGGAUAAAAGCUUACCAAGCCGACGAUCUGUAGCCGGUCUGAGAGGACGACCAGCCACACUGGGACUGGGACACGGCCCAGACUCCUACGGGAGGCAGCAGUGGGGAAUUUUGGACAAUGGGCGCAAGCCUGAUCCAGCAAUGCCGCGUGCAGGAUGAAGGCCUUCGGGUUGUAAACUGCUUUUGUACGGAACGAAAAGCCCUCUUCUAAUACAGGAGGGUCAUGACGGUACCGUAAGAAUAAGCACCGGCUAACUACGUG
Molecule: ribosomal RNA, 482 nt
Filed under: uncultured bacterium
Lineage: Bacteria
Description: partial 16S ribosomal RNA
Rfam family: Bacterial small subunit ribosomal RNA
Source: RNAcentral